Molecule: ribosomal RNA, 273 nt
Filed under: uncultured bacterium
Lineage: Bacteria
Description: partial 16S ribosomal RNA
Rfam family: Bacterial small subunit ribosomal RNA
Source: RNAcentral
UACGUAGGGGGCAAGCGUUGUCCGGAUUUAUUGGGCGUAAAGAGCGUGUAGGCGGUUCGGUAGGUCCGUUGUGAAAACUCGAGGCUCAACCUCGAGACGCCGAUGGAAACCACCGAACUAGAGUCCGGAAGAGGAGAGUGGAAUUCCUGGUGUAGCGGUGAAAUGCGCAGAUAUCAGGAAGAACACCCGUGGCUAAGGCGGCUCUCUAGUACGGUACUGACGCUGAGACGCGAAAGCGUGGGGAGCGAACAGGAUUAGAAACCCGUGUAGUCC